CUUUGAUUUGCUGGCUUUGCAACGGAGGGAGCCUCCUGAGCCAUCGAUAUAAAUAAUGCAGGCGGCCUAAACAUCCCAUCUGAGUUGCGACACAACAUCCCGGGCGAGGCCUUGGAGCAAGCCUGAAAUUCAAUUUGCGGCGGAGUGCAAAGAUCUGGGUCAAAUGGUUGUCUGCUUUUCUAUCCAAGAAUUUUCUGCUGGAGCAGCCUACCCGUGCCUCUUCUGACUUCACCUACAAGGUGACUUUCUACCAUCUGAUGUCCCCCAGGUAGAUGUCUUCUGCUUCAACUCCUACUAUUUUCAGCCUACAUGCCAGG
This 317-nucleotide long non-coding RNA is filed under the name Naja naja (Indian cobra). Its description in RNAcentral is "lncRNA (ENSNNAG00000018545.1)". Lineage: Eukaryota; Metazoa; Chordata; Lepidosauria; Squamata; Elapidae. The record is from RNAcentral.